RNAcentral lists this long non-coding RNA (768 nucleotides) under Homo sapiens (human). RNAcentral's name for it is "HSALNT0274849". Lineage: Eukaryota; Metazoa; Chordata; Mammalia; Primates; Hominidae. The record is from RNAcentral.
GUGGACUCAGCCCCCUUGUCUGGUGCGGUUCUCGCUGCCUGCCCUUUCCUUUCUUGUUUUCCACACAUUUCACACAAUAGUAUUUCUAUUGAUUUUGUGUUUAGCAGGAAAAUUUUUAUCAGCUCAAGUUUUUAAAAUUAAAAACAGUAUACAUGUAAAUAUUCCUAAGUUUGUGAGCUAAAAGGAAAUGUUUAUUUUGUAAAAAAUUAGCCAUUUAGAAUUUCUACAUUUGGUUACAGCUUUUAAAUGACAAAUGUUGCUUCCUGCCCUGCUCCUGCUGCUGAUUUGGAAAUUCUCAUGUGUUUCAAGUUCCUGUUGUGUGCAUUCCACUGUGCUAGGAACAUUCAGGAUGUCAAGAAGGAGAAGCUGUAAUCUUCAUAUUCAGGUUGUGGGCAGGAAUGCGAAAUGCGGAAACACAGAAAGUUAAAUAACUUAAAACCCUGCAAGGCUUCCUGUCCCACGCACCAUACAAGCUGUAAGAACUCUUAAGCUUUGGUGUCGUAAAGAGUAGGUCACUGUGGCUUAGAAUAUGCUCUUCUAGCUCUUGGUGCUGCUCAUUCGAAUUAAAAAAAUACUUAAUGAUGCCUACAAUGUGCACAGUGCACAGUAAUAAGAUUAAAAGGACCCCUACUCUCAGGAGGCUUAAAAUCAGUCUUUCCUGCUAGAAAACAAGUUCCGUAGGAGAGAGACUUUGUUUUUCUGGUGUAUUGGAAGCAUCUAGAACCAUGCCCAGUAAACAUUUAUUUUAUGAUUGAUUGAGUUCUAAAG